AUUGAACGCUGGCGGCAUGCUUUACACAUGCAAGUCGAACGGUAACAGGCCUUCGGGUGCUGACGAGUGGCGAACGGGUGAGUAAUGCAUCGGAACGUACCCAGAGGUGGGGGAUAACGCAGCGAAAGCUGUGCUAAUACCGCAGGUGAUCUGAGGAUGAAAGCGGGGGACCGAGCAGCAAUGUUUGGCCUCGCGCCUUUGGAGCGGCCGAUGUCGGCUUAGCUAGUUGGUGGGGUAAAGGCCUACCAAGGCGACGAUCCGUAGCUGGUCUGAGAGGACGACCAGCCACACUGGGACUGAGACACGGCCCAGACUCCUACGGGAGGCAGCAGUGGGGAAUUUUGGACAAUGGGCGCAAGCCUGAUCCAGCAAUGCCGCGUGCGGGAAGAAGGCCUUCGGGUUGUAAACCGCUUUUGGCAGGAACGAAACGGUGUCCGCUAAUACCGGGCGCUAAUGACGGUACCUGCAGAAUAAGCACCGGCUAACUACGUG
Molecule: ribosomal RNA, 492 nt
Filed under: uncultured bacterium
Lineage: Bacteria
Description: partial 16S ribosomal RNA
Rfam family: Bacterial small subunit ribosomal RNA
Source: RNAcentral